This 881-nucleotide ribosomal RNA is filed under the name uncultured bacterium. RNAcentral describes it as "bacterial SSU rRNA". It matches the Rfam family "Bacterial small subunit ribosomal RNA", at positions 24 to 902 of the family's 1533-position model. The record is from RNAcentral.
UCAGAUGAAACGCUGGCGGAAUGCUUUACACAUGCAAGUCGAGCGGCAGCGCGGGGCAACCUGGCGGCGAGCGGCGAACGGGUGAGUAAUGUAUCGGAACGUGCCCAGUCGUGGGGGAUAACACAGCGAAAGUUGUGCUAAUACCGCAUACGACCUGAGGGUGAAAGGGGGGGAUCGCAAGACCUCUCGCGAUUGGAGCGGCCGAUAUCGGAUUAGCUAGUUGGUGAGGUAAAGGCUCACCAAGGCGACGAUCCGUAGCGGGUCUGAGAGGACGACCCGCCACACUGGAACUGAGACACGGUCCAGACUCCUACGGGAGGCAGCAGUGGGGAAUUUUGGACAAUGGGCGCAAGCCUGAUCCAGCCAUUCCGCGUGAGUGAAGAAGGCCUUCGGGUUGUAAAGCUCCUUCGGCAGGAACGAAACGGCUUCUCCUAAUACGAGAGGCUAAUGACGGUACCUGAAGAAGAAGCACCGGCUAACUACGUGCCAGCAGCCGCGGUAAUACGUAGGGUGCGAGCGUUAAUCGGAAUUAUUGGGCGUAAAGCGUGCGCAGGCGGUUCUAUAAGACAGAUGUGAAAUCCCCGGGCUUAACCUGGGAACUGCGUUUGUGACUGUAGGACUUGAGUGUGGCAGAGGGGGGUGGAAUUCCACGUGUAGCAGUGAAAUGCGUAGAUAUGUGGAGGAACAUCGAUGGCGAAGGCAGCCCCCUGGGUUAACACUGACGCUCAUGCACGAAAGCGUGGGGAGCAAACAGGAUUAGAUACCCUGGUAGUCCACGCCCUAAACGAUGCGAACUAGGUGUUGGGGAAGGAGACUUCCUUAGUACCGCAGCUAACGCGUGAAGUUCGCCGCCUGGGGAGUACGGUCGCAGAUUAAAACUC